CUUGAACUCCUGAGAUCAAGUGAUCUUCCCACUUCAGUCUCCGAAAGUGCUGGGAUUACAGCGUCUCUUCGAAGAUUUCCCUGGGGAGAAGCACUGUGUUUACCCAGAAGGGAGUCGGGUUCCCCAGGAGCUCUCGGGGAUCAUUCCCCAGCGAUGGGGAAGACAGCAGGAUGCAGGAGGACUUGGGGCCUUAUUGAUGAGAUGCGGACACACAGCGAAGAGAUGUCUCGGUUGGAGCUCAUUUUAAGCCAUCAAGAGCCCUGGACAUGGCUGGACAAGGUGGCUCAUGCUUGUAAUCCAAGCACUUUGGGAGGCAGAGACAGAAAGAUCUCUUGAGCCCAGGAGUUCAAGACCAGCCUAGCACGUUUUCCCCACCUUUUCCUGUCAGUAACCUGUCCUUCAAGUUUUUGCCUGGACAUCACCUCCUCCAGGAAACCUUCCCUGAACACCACCCAGCCUCCACCUGCUGCGGUUGGAUUACUCAUUCUGUCAUAUAAGAAAACCGAGGCUCAGAAUGGAAGUUCAUUGCUCAACAUCAAACACCCAGGAAAUGAUGGCGCCUGAAUGGGAGCUCAACUUCCAACAUGGCCCAUCCCUUGCUGACCUCACUGGGUCUGUCUUAUGACAGUAUGAGCACCCCGCCCAGACCAGAGAAUAUAGGAGGUACUUAAAUAAAUAAAUAAAUACCAGUCUGCAAACCUCUGGCAUCCACAGAUUCAGUCCUGACUUAAUCUCUGAGCUGUUCCACCCUGCAGUAUGAUAGAAAGAACUAGAAAGAACUUGGCUUCAUGAGUCAGCCCAACCCAGAUUUGAAUCCUGGCUGCCCACCCUGUGACUUCGGGUAAGUGACUUCAUUUUUCUGAGUCUGACUUUGCCCCUCUCCAAAGUGGAAGAGAGCAAAACCUAUUUAUCGAGGCAAAUGGGAGGAUCAAAUAAAUUUAUCAAUGGAAAAUUGAUGGGCACAUAACAGGCACUGAAUUAACAUUAGUUCCCUGAGCCCAUCACCCAGGGAAUAAAGAAGCAGCUCCCAUAUUUUUUUUCUGCAUUUAGUGUGGUGUGGCAGGUGCUUCACAGAUUUUGUCUGUAUUCCUCAUAUCGGUCCAGGUGAAGACUGCCAUCCCCACUUUAUUUUUAGUUUUUGCCCCCUGCCUCAUCAUCGCCAUUUUAUAGAUGAAAACGUGGAGGUUUUAAAAAAGGCUAGAUCCCUUGAGCAAAGUCACAGAGCUAAGGAGUCAGAAGUGUCAGAAUUCAGCCGGGCAUGGUGGCUCAAGCCUGCAGUCCCAGCACUUUGGGAGACUGAGGU
Molecule: long non-coding RNA, 1303 nt
Organism: Sapajus apella (tufted capuchin)
Lineage: Eukaryota; Metazoa; Chordata; Mammalia; Primates; Cebidae
Exons: 6
Source: RefSeq, a predicted model, not a curated record